UUUUGUUCUAACUACAUGAUGUUGCUUAUAUAGUCUCGUUCGUAUGAAAUAAGUGAUUCUAAUCUUUACCACCAUUCUGAUCCUCAUUCAGUACUUAUUAAUAUACUGAUAUAUAAGAAACCACUAAUGUUUAUGUCACUUCUUACAGAUUAAAACAACAGUCAGCAAGAUCUGCAGAGUAAUAUUAUAAGUUUUAUAAUGGCUUGAAUAUUUGAAAUUACAAAUUGCCUUGUGUAUCCUACAAAACUCACAGCUGGUGAUACCAAAUCAGAUUACCUUGUGUACCCAACCAGGCUCACAGCUGGUAAUAGCAAAUCAGGUAUCUGGAUGAAUAAAAGAAGUACUGAUACAAAACAUACAAAAUCAUAUUUAGAAAAUCCGACACUCAAAAUUAUACAAUUUGAUGACAGUUAUUACAAAUCGAAUAUACAAAUAAGAAGCUGUUUCACACUACUUGGAUCAUUAUUGGCCUGUCUAUUUUUAUAAAUUACAAUGGACUAACAUUGUGAGACUUAACAAUCCUGGGAUUUACUUAAAGGUGCAAAAUAUCUUUCAAAGCAGACAAGACAUCUACCUCAAUUUUAGCAAUUUUGCAACUAGAGUACCAAAGCUGACUUCGCCCUGUAUUCUACAAAAUCAUUCAAAUUUAAUUUAGUAUUAGGAUGUGUCAUGUCAUUUUCUCUGUAUGAUAUUUAAUAAAGCUCAAGACAUCAUUGUGAAUGAAAUGAUAUGACACAUCCUAAUACUAAAUUAAAUUUGAUUGAUGACAUGAAAUAUGAAUUAGCAUAUGGACUAAGUGGGAAGAAAUACUAUGAAGAACUUAAAUACUGUACCUGUAGGGGUUAUAUUCCAUCUCAAAUGAAGUUACCUUCUAAAAUUAUGAAGAGAAAAGAGCUACUGUGAUGAAAAAAUUGAAGUUGCCCAGACUAGAUAUCCUAGAAACUACAAAGGUACAUGCAUAGUACGUAGUCCUGACUGCAGAUAAACAACUGAUUUGUGCAAAUAAAAUAUAAAUGUAUUUAAUUAA
Pieris rapae (cabbage white) is the source of this 1027-nucleotide long non-coding RNA. RefSeq lists it as uncharacterized. The transcript has 14 exons. Lineage: Eukaryota; Metazoa; Arthropoda; Insecta; Lepidoptera; Pieridae. The record is from RefSeq and is a predicted model, not a curated record.